Small nucleolar RNA from Erinaceus europaeus (western European hedgehog), 63 nucleotides. The record is from Ensembl. Lineage: Eukaryota; Metazoa; Chordata; Mammalia; Eulipotyphla; Erinaceidae.
AGCCCAUGAUGGUUUAAGAGUAGUGGGCAGAAGGGAUUUCUGAAAAAAAUCUUAGCUGAGGCU